This 211-nucleotide unclassified non-coding RNA is filed under the name plant metagenome. RNAcentral's name for it is "partial contains small subunit ribosomal RNA, internal transcribed spacer 1, and 5.8S ribosomal RNA". The record is from RNAcentral.
UUUCCGUAGGUGAACCUGCGGAAGGAUCAUUCAUAAUAAAGUGUUUUAUGGCACUUUUUAAAAAUCCGUAUCCACCUUGUGUGCAAUGUUAGAUCUCGUCAAUCUUGGCGAGAUUUUUAUACAUUAACUCAUUCUUUAACUAAUUUGUCUGAAAAAUAUUAUGAAUACUCAAUUCUAAAUACAACUUUCAACAACGGAUCUCUUGGCUCUC